Molecule: long non-coding RNA, 1747 nt
Filed under: Gossypium barbadense (sea-island cotton)
Lineage: Eukaryota; Viridiplantae; Streptophyta; Magnoliopsida; Malvales; Malvaceae
Description: long non-coding RNA (GBAR_LNC003465)
Source: RNAcentral
AAUUUUAAUACCCAAUCACAAAUUUUAUCAAUUCAUUAAAUACUUACCUUAAAAUACUUACCACACAUACAUAUUAAAUUAAACACAUAUUAAUUAUAAAGCUUGAGUUAUAGUGAUACAAACCAGAAUUUUCUUCGAAUUUAAUCCUUGAUGAUCUUUUCUUUUCCUUUUUGGGCUGAUGCUUCAGGCUCGAUAUUAGCUACAAACAAUUAAAAUAGUUCCACAAUUAUUAGCAUAACACAAUUUAAAUACUGAAAUUUUUAUUUAACUUUUACUUUAAUUCUAAUUUAGUCCAAACUAAACUCAUAUAUUUUUCUUCUUCAGUUCAUAUUUUUUAUUACUCAAUUCCCUACCAAACUUACAUUUAACUAUCAAGUUUUCAUCAUAUUUUCAUAAUUUUGAAUUUCUAUCAAUUUAGUCCCUAUAACAUAAAACUUAUGGCAUAGUUUACAAUUUAAUCCUUUAAUUAGUUCCAAUUAAAAUUUCUAUCAAAUAAACCCCCAAUUCCAUCAUUUGUUCAACAUAAACCCUACUAAAUAAAAAUCAUUAACUUUCAAAAUUUUAACUCAAAUCCAAGAGUAUUUCACUCUAGGAUUCCAAAAAUAUUAAAAUUAAAAGAAAAGGACUAAAAUUAACUUAACAAUUAACAUGGAAUCCCAAAAUCCCUAUUUUUCCUUUCUUCUUUUCUUUCCCCGAUUUCUUCUUUCUAUUUCGUGAGCUCUCUGUAACUUUUUCUUCUUUCCUUUUUCAAUUUGUUUUGUAGCAGGCCAAAAUUGCCCGGCCCAAGCCCAAAGUAGACAACCCAAAAUGCUUAAAAUGAAUAACAGUCUAAAGUUAUUACAGUCCAAAUCCGGGCCCUAAACAACCUAAACAAAUGACCUACUACCCAACUACAACCUAGCAGGCCCUAUUUGCAAAUGGCCCAAACACAACCCAAAAUCCCUAACCCAAUUUCUAUCAGCCCAAUUGGCCUAAAACAUUAAACCAACUCAGAAAUCCUAGGGUUUCUGAGCCUCCCCCGCGCCGCAGCCACCACCCACAUGCCUCAGCGCGCACUCUGCCCAAAGGUCCACUCUCCUUCCACGGAAGUGGAAACUUCCUCGUCCGUUGACCCUCCAUGGACCUGCAAACAUGCAAAAAAGGAGCAAAAACAAAAUAACACGCAAAGGCAAUAGAGAAAUGGAUAUGUAUUCGACUAUAUAGCCAGAGACAAAAUGUAAAUUUUGAACACAUGAAUAUUGAACAACCAAAAAGCGAAAAGACAAGAAAAAAGGUUGACUGUUUAUUUAUAUUUCUUGUUUUCAUUUCAUUUCGUUUUUUAUUUUUAUUUUUUAUCUUUUCUAUUUUAUUACGAAUCUAUUUUAAACAAAAAAAUAUAAGAGAAGAAACCUCACUGGAUAAUCCUGAGUCACGUCGUCGGACAUGUUCUUCGUCGUCAAAAUUGGACUUAAAAGGAAGGGGGAGGGACCUUUUCUUUCGCAUUUUCUGAGUUUGGAGGGCUUUGCUUUCGGACCCUCUUAAAAAGGGCCAAAAAUCUGGUCUUUGCGUGGCUCCGACCACCGUCCACGGUGGAACCACGACGAUCAAGGCGACGACGAUGAUGGGUUAAGAAACCCUGGCACAGAAAAAUUAUAAAAGGAGGGGCUGCUCUCUGUUUUUUGUAGAAGAAAAGGGAAGAAAUGAAAAAAAAAAGUAAAAAAAAUUUAGUUUAAAUAGCAGUGCAAAACGGUGCCGUUUUGCACCAAAG